GAUGAACGCUGGCGGCGUGCCUAACACAUGCAAGUCGAGCGGACCUUGCGAGAGCGGAGACUUCGGUCAAAGCGAUUGCACUGGUUAGCGGCGGACGGGUGAGUAACACGUGGGUAACCUACCUUUCUUUGGGGGAUAACAAUCAGAAAUGAUUGCUAAUACCGCAUACGGUCGUUUGAUGGCAUCAUCGAGCGAGGAAAGAUUUAUCGAAGGAAGAGGGGCCCGCGUCUGAUUAGCUAGUUGGUGGGGUAAAGGCCUACCAAGGCAACGAUCAGUAGCCGACCUGAGAGGGUGAUCGGCCACAUUGGGACUGAGACACGGCCCAAACUCCUACGGGAGGCAGCAGUGAGGAAUAUUGCGCAAUGGACGGAAGUCUGACGCAGCAACGCCGCGUGAAGGAAGACGGUUUUCGGAUUGUAAACUUCUAUCGACAGGGACGAAUAAUGACGGUACCUGGGUAAGAAGCCCCGGCUAACUACGUGCCAGCAGCCGCGGUAAUACGUAGGGGGCAAGCGUUAUCCGGAAUCACUGGGCGUAAAGGGUGUGUAGGCGGUUAUUUAGGUCAUAUGUGAAAUCCCCGGGCUUAACCCGGGAAUGGCAUAAGAAACCGGAUGACUAGAGUGCAGGAGAGGUAAGCGGAAUUCCUAGUGUAGCGGUGAAAUGCGUAGAUAUUAGGAAGAACACCAGUGGCGAAGGCGGCUUACUGGACUGAAACUGACGCUGAGACACGAAAGCGUGGGGAGCGAACAGGAUUAGAUACCCUGGUAGUCCACGCUGUAAACGAUGAAUGCUAGGUGUCGGGUGGAGACAUUCGGUGCCGGAGUAAACGCAAUAAGCAUUCCGCCUGGGGAGUACGUACGCAAGUAUGAAACUCAAAGGAAUUGACGGGGGCCCGCACAAGCGGUGGAGCAUGUUGUUUAAUUCGACGCAACGCGAAGAACCUUACCAAGGCUUGACAUGGCAAUGACAGGUACAGAGAUGUACCCUUCUUCGGACAUUGCACACAGGUGGUGCAUGGUUGUCGUCAGCUCGUGUCGUGAGAUGUUGGGUUAAGUCCCGCAACGAGCGCAACCCCUAUAUCAAGUAGCCAGCAGGUAAAGCUGGGCACUCUGGAUAGACUGCCGUGGAUAACACGGAGGAAGGCGGGGAUGACGUCAAAUCAUCAUGCCCCUUACGUCUUGGGCUACAAACGUGCUACAAUGGCUGGAACAAAGUGAAGCAAGACGGCGACGUUAAGCAAAGCACAAAAAACCAGUCUCAGUUCGGAUUGCAGUCUGCAACUCGACUGCAUGAAGUUGGAAUCGCUAGUAAUCGCGAAUCAGAAUGUCGCGGUGAAUACGUUCCCGGGCCUUGUACACACCGCCCGUCACACCAUGGGAGUUGGAAGCGCCCGAAGCCCGUGACCUAACCGCAAGGGAGGAGCAGUCGAAGGUGAAGUCAAUGACUAGGGUG
Molecule: ribosomal RNA, 1452 nt
Filed under: uncultured Bacillota bacterium
Lineage: Bacteria; Bacillati; Bacillota
Description: bacterial SSU rRNA
Rfam family: Bacterial small subunit ribosomal RNA
Source: RNAcentral